RNAcentral lists this ribosomal RNA (253 nucleotides) under uncultured bacterium. RNAcentral describes it as "partial 16S ribosomal RNA". It matches the Rfam family "Bacterial small subunit ribosomal RNA", at positions 67 to 334 of the family's 1533-position model. The record is from RNAcentral.
CGCCCUCUUCGGAGGGAGCGGCGGACGGGUUAGUAACGCGUGGGAACGUGCCUCUCCCUACGGAACAGCCCAGGGAAACUUGGAUUAAUACCGUAUACGCCCCUGAGGGUCAAACCUUGGGGGGAAAGAUUUAUCGGAGAGAGAUCGGCCCGCGUUGGAUUAGGUAGUUGGUGGGGUAAUGGCCUACCAAGCCUACGAUCCAUAGCUGGUUUGAGAGGAUGAUCAGCAACACUGGGACUGAGACACGGCCCAG